CACGUAGGGGGCAAGCGUUGUCCGGAUUUAUUGGGCGUAAAGAGCUCGUAGGCGGUUCGGUAAGUCGGGUGUGAAAGUCACAGGCUCAACCUGUGAAUGCCGCUGGAAACUGUCUGGCUAGAGUCCGGAAGGGGCGAGUGGAAUUCCUGGUGUAGCGGUGAAAUGCGCAGAUAUCAGGAGGAACACCUAUGGCGAAGGCAGCUCGCUGGGACGGUACUGACGCUGAGGCGCGAAAGCGUGGGGAGCGAACAGG
RNAcentral lists this ribosomal RNA (253 nucleotides) under uncultured bacterium. Its description in RNAcentral is "partial 16S ribosomal RNA". It matches the Rfam family "Bacterial small subunit ribosomal RNA", at positions 524 to 776 of the family's 1533-position model. The record is from RNAcentral.